UACUGAUCUGUUUAUGUUUUUUCCGGCAUAUGUUUUCUGAUUGUUUGGCAACACCGGUGUCAAAUAUGGUUGCUGAAAACAGCAGGAGAAAAAUAUUGCAAAUGAUGUAGUUUUUGUUAAAAUGAGUGCUAAUUUUUGCUUAUUCCUACAAGAAAAAUUGUGCAACGCGUAGUGAAAAGUGCGAAAAAUUGUGCAAGCUUGUCGGCUUUGCCGGAAACCACUUCAGUGCGAAUAAAACACGUAAUGUUUUUGUUGUUUUGAAUUGGGGUCGCGAAACAGAAAAAAAAAUCGCAUCGAAUGUUGAUAGUUCCGGGAAGAGGCAGGAAGAAACAGAAUCCGCAAAGAGCUCCGGCGGUCGAAAUGUCUCCCCUAUGGACGGCAAAGUAUGACUACCAGGCGAAAGGCGACGAUGAACUGUCGCUGCGUGUCGGGCAGAUCGUUUUUGUGCUGUCGAUGGACAGCAUCAUUUCCGGUGACGAGGGUUGGUGGACGGGCAAAAUCGGUGAAAAGGUUGGGAUUUUCCCAUCCAAUUUCGUCACGAAUGAAGAUCCAACAGUGUUGAACGUGCAGCCAUUGGAGAUAAAGUUCGAAGAGCUCGAGUUGAAGGAAGUGAUCGGAGUUGGUGGUUUCAGUAAAGUACACCGUGCCUUUUGGAAUGGCGAAGAGGUGGCCGUGAAGGCCUCCCGCCAGGACGAAGAUAUUGACGGAACACGGGAGAAUGUGUUAAAGGAGGCAAAACUGUUCUGGUCGUUGAAGCAUCCGAAUAUUGUCGAGCUGAAAGGGGUGUGCCUGGAACAACCAAUUCUUUGCCUGGUGAUGGAAUAUGCACGAGGCGGUUCGCUCAAUAAGAUCCUGGCAGGAAGGAAGAUUCCACCGGAUGUUCUGGUGGACUGGGCUGUUCAAAUUGCCAGAGGAAUGAAGUAUUUGCACUGUGAGGCACCUAUCUCGGUCAUUCACAGGGACUUGAAAAGCUCCAAUGUGCUCAUCUGUGAUGCCAUAAUGAGUGGCCAUUUGAAAAAUAAAACCCUCAAAAUAACAGAUUUCGGCCUCGCCCGUGAAGCAUACAUUACAACAAGAAUGUCUGCGGCCGGUACAUUCGCAUGGAUGCCACCGGAAGUCAUCAAGUCGGGUACAUAUUCGAAAGCCUCAGACGUUUGGAGCUACGGUGUGUUGCUGUGGGAAUUGCUCACCGGCGAAACGCCUUAUAAAGGAUUUGAUACUCUGUCGGUUGCGUAUGGAGUAGCCGUCAACACACUCGCACUACCGAUUCCGAAGACUUGCCCAGAAGCAUGGGGAAAGCUAAUGAAGUCCUGCUGGGAAUUGGAUCCGCAUCGGCGACCCUCGUUUAGGGAUAUCGAGAAAGAUUUAGACACUAUCGCACGGUCAGGAUUCGCGCAAACACCACACGAGUCGUUCCACACGAUGCAGGACGGCUGGAAGAGGGAGAUUGCUGAAGUCCUCCAGGAGCUGCGUAGAAAAGAGAAGGAACUACGCUCCAAAGAGGAAGAACUCAGCAGGGUACAGCAAGAGCAGCAAUUCAGGGAGGAGGAUCUCGCCAAACGGAAGCAAGAGUUGGACGCUCGCGAAAUCGAACUGCUGGGACGUGAGCUGAAAAUUAUCAUCACUCAGAACACACCUACACCUAAGAAACGUAAAGGAAAAUUUAGCAAAAGUAAAUUAAGGUUAUUGAAACGUGAACCGGGUCACAUUUCGUUUCCGCUCGAUUUUCGUCACACGAUAACGGUGCAACCGACCGCCAUUCGGGACGAAACUCGACAGCGCACCGAUACUCCUCCCGGUUCUCCUGCCACCACCCGACUGAGGGCAAUUGCACUUCCGGCCGAUGGCAUGAAAGGUAAAACCUGGGGGCCAUCGACGCUGCACCAGCGCGAGCGAAGUAACUUGCCGGCGCUCAGAUCGACGGUUCGGACACCGCAUUUCAGUAAGAGUGCCCCGAACUUGGACAAAUCCCGCUCGGCGAUCUCCGCCAGUUCGUCGCGUAACGAGAUAUUAGAUUACGACACUGAUGAAUGGUUCCCAUCCAAUCUUAAUGUCGCCGGUGAUAGCACGUCACUGAGUACUCCGCUUUGCACUAGCCUGACAAGGUUUAAUGGACUUCCGAGCACUAUCCCGAUGCCGACGCUUUAUUCUUCCGAGGGGCAGCGCAAACCAAAGCUAUCGAUAAUAGAAUUAGUGUUGUAUAAUAUUGCUUCAAUGUUGGCGGGUGUCGCCUCCGGGUAUGAUGUGCGAAUAUCGAAUGUAACGCCCCUACAUCCUCGAUUACACCCGCCGUCGGCGCUCAACGAUGUCUAUCAGCCUCAGCCUAGUCCUUACCACAACCUGCGUCAACUGCAGCAGCCACAAUUAUCGCUGCCCCCGAAUCUAGAUAGCAAAAUAGACCAAGAGUAUACCGAAGUACAUAACGAGAGAAUGUACGCUCACAACACUUAUCACGGACCAGUGAAGCAUAACAGGACGCCCCUAUCUUCGCUUAGCCCCCGCCAAGACGAUCGACCGCUACGUUUCACGGAUUCGCCCCAACACUACAUGCCGUCGACAAUGUCCACCACCAGUGGGCUAGGGUCCAACUAUACUCCCUCUGGGCCUAGCUCGUCGCUGAGUGGUGGCGUUAGUGGUACUCAACCACCGACGCCUUCGCCCCGACGUAAAUCCAGCGUCGCUUCCUUCAUUGACUAUGGAGAUCUGCCGGAGGAACAGGAGAGUAGAGCUGGUCUCUACGUGCCUGGUGACUAUGUAAAUUAUCCGUACCAAGGCAGCAACAUGGUCACGACUGGGGCAAACGCAGGAUACUUUGGGUCGCACUACUUUCCAUACCGACCUGAAAUCAAUUUUGUUUACGAACGUGACACAAAGUCCUAUGGAGGGGAGCCAGUGUAUGAGGAUCACCACUACGACAGUGCUUCUUAUCAUGAUUACGCUUACGAAGGGGCGGUACAGCAACGGUUCAAUGCGCCGCGUGUUCCUGCUAUGGGCGUAAGUGCCGCUGGCCAUCGGCGAACGUUGUCAAACGUUUCCACGACUGCCAGCAAUAUCAAUCAAGGGUUUCAUCUGGAUCAGGAUGAUGACAUUGAAGUGGUUGAUGAUACCAUUUAUAAUCUAAGCCAAUUCUACAUUAGCAACAAUUCGAAUGCAGUUAAAGUGCCCGAAACUAGUUACGUUCCUAAUCGUAUUCGUGAGUAUGAAAACAUUCCAAACUACUUUAAGAGGCAAACUAGUCUGAACGCUGGUUAUCCGGGUCACUUUUCUAAUGAAUUUAUAAAUAUCACAAAUCACGAGCGACCUAUGAGCCUAGGCCUAGAGCAUGGUGAAACGCAAUCUUCUGGGGCUGGCUCCCAAGUGAAACUGCGAUCUAGCAUGAAGAAAUACAACUCGCAGCAACAACAACAACAUCAGAAGAAAUAUAGCACCGGCUCAAGUGGAAGCUGUGGUACGCCGGGAACGACAAAUCACACUCCUCCUGAGAGUCUAACCAGUGACGAUAGUUCAUAUUUAAGUGCGAAAGAUAAUUCCUCUUCGAUGUCGUCGCAAAGUAGGGUUCGUUUCACGCCGGAAAUCCUUCUGGAUAUGCAACAACCACUGCAGCACCAACAGCAGCUUACUUCCCAGCAGAUACAAAGUAGCCAAAAUUUAGCACUCGAGCACGGACCGCACGUCCCUCUCGGACGGCGGUCGUCAAGUGGCACAGUUCCGGUAGCGCCUUCAAGCAGCAUCCCUCUCGGCAGCAGACGUCGCUCGAAUACAAGUGAGUCCGAACAAUCCUAGCGUUACGUUAAAACCUAUAUGGUGUAACUUUCAAUUUGCCUCAUGGUGCACUUAUUGACCUGCGCACUUUUUAUUGCACCGAUGGACUCGUGUGGGGGUGAUAAGAAGAUUAAGAGAUCAAAGAUGGAUAUUUUUUUUAGUCGCAGAUAUUAUGGGAAAGUGAUUACGUGUUUGAUUUCGUUUAUGGCAGUAUUCAGCAGAAAAAAAGUAACAUUUAUACUCAUCUGACAUACAAUAUCAGUUGCCGUUAAGACGCCAUUAUCACCGACCAAAAUAAAUUACGAGGUUUACCAAGUGGUCUCAGCAUUAACAGAUGUGCAACCAAAACGAACCUAAACUGCAAAUGCACGGAGGAGCAGAAACUGUACAGAAUGGCCUGUAAAUAACCCAGGUACGAGUAUUUAGCGCUUUGAAUCAAUUUAGUACGUUGCUUCGGUAUAUUGAAGUUUGCAACGGAUUCUCCCUUACAAAACUACAUUGCAUAUAGAGGGAAAAUACGACAGUAGGAGAGAAACCAGCUCUUAUUCGGAUUUAUUGCAAUUUGUCGACUUAUAGUUAGCGCCCCAUAUAACAACACAUACCCACAUAUAAUACUCUGCAAACAUUCCUACAUGUGUUUUACGAAAAGGCCACUGCACCGAGCGCAGAGAACGAAUGAAGCAAGUCGUUUGUAAUUAGUUUUAUCCAAUUAAAUUCGAUUGUAUUAUACAGCAUUAAGCGGCGAGGAGUGGUCGGCGCUAUGAGCUUUAGAAGCAUAAAAGGAUAAGGUGGAAGGUUAAUGAAACAAAAAGGCACUUAUUCUAGUCGUUUAAGAUUUGAUAGUAGUAUUUUGAGUUUUUAAUUAAUUUAUAUUUAUUACCUUCAGAAGAGCUAGCGCAGACAAAGUUUUAUAUAGCAUUUAUAUUGAUUUCCCAUUGCUCCAGCAAAGUGAAUAAAAAAGGCAAUGAACGGAAAGAGGCACGGUUAGGAAAAAAAUCUACCACACGUUAUCGAAAGGUACGUCCCCUCAUGAGCGAUUCCAAGCAACAGCAUCAAAAUUUAAGAAAAUUUUUAAUUCAUGAUUUUCUAUUGAGUUGAAACUUUGCACAGUUUUUCAAUUUCAUCUAAAUCGUCAUUUUUCGAUAUCAAAUCUUCAUAUUGAGUCACGACUAACUUUUCAAAAGGGUGUAUGU
This is an RNA transcript of Armigeres subalbatus, 4955 nucleotides long. It is a transcript of the gene named mitogen-activated protein kinase kinase kinase 11, with no coding region annotated. The transcript has 12 exons. NCBI's taxonomy places the organism in Eukaryota, Metazoa, Arthropoda, Insecta, Diptera, Culicidae. The record is from RefSeq and is a predicted model, not a curated record.